This 641-nucleotide ribosomal RNA is filed under the name Enterobacter sichuanensis. Its description in RNAcentral is "bacterial SSU rRNA". It matches the Rfam family "Bacterial small subunit ribosomal RNA", at positions 798 to 1439 of the family's 1533-position model. Lineage: Bacteria; Pseudomonadati; Pseudomonadota; Gammaproteobacteria; Enterobacterales; Enterobacteriaceae. The record is from RNAcentral.
CGCCGUAAACGAUGUCGACUUGGAGGUUGUGCCCUUGAGGCGUGGCUUCCGGAGCUAACGCGUUAAGUCGACCGCCUGGGGAGUACGGCCGCAAGGUUAAAACUCAAAUGAAUUGACGGGGGCCCGCACAAGCGGUGGAGCAUGUGGUUUAAUUCGAUGCAACGCGAAGAACCUUACCUACUCUUGACAUCCAGAGAACUUUCCAGAGAUGGAUUGGUGCCUUCGGGAACUCUGAGACAGGUGCUGCAUGGCUGUCGUCAGCUCGUGUUGUGAAAUGUUGGGUUAAGUCCCGCAACGAGCGCAACCCUUAUCCUUUGUUGCCAGCGGUUAGGCCGGGAACUCAAAGGAGACUGCCAGUGAUAAACUGGAGGAAGGUGGGGAUGACGUCAAGUCAUCAUGGCCCUUACGAGUAGGGCUACACACGUGCUACAAUGGCGCAUACAAAGAGAAGCGACCUCGCGAGAGCAAGCGGACCUCAUAAAGUGCGUCGUAGUCCGGAUUGGAGUCUGCAACUCGACUCCAUGAAGUCGGAAUCGCUAGUAAUCGUAGAUCAGAAUGCUACGGUGAAUACGUUCCCGGGCCUUGUACACACCGCCCGUCACACCAUGGGAGUGGGUUGCAAAAGAAGUAGGUAGCUUAAC